CCUACGGGGGGCUGCAGUAAGGAAUAUUGGUCAAUGGACGCAAGUCUGAACCAGCCAUGCCGCGUGGAGGAUUAAGGCCCUCUGGGUUGUAAACUCCUUUUAUCUGGGAAGAAAUGUACUUUUUCUUGAGUACUUGACGGUACCAGAGGAAUAAGCACCGGCUAACUCCGUGCCAGCAGCCGCGGUAAUACGGGGGGUGCCGGAUUCAUCCGGAUUCACGGGGUUGUAGGGGGGCAGGUAUGGGAGUGGUGAAAUCUCCGGGCUUAACCCGGAAACUGCCGUUGAUACUAUUUGUCUUGAAUAUUGUGGAGGUAAGCGGAAUAUGUCAUGUAGCGGUGAAAUGCUUAGAUAUGACAUAGAACACCAAUUGCGAAGGCAGCUUACUACACAAUCAUUGACGCUGAGGCACGAAAGCGUGGGGAUCAAACAGGAUUAGAUACCCGGGUAGUC
Molecule: ribosomal RNA, 450 nt
Filed under: uncultured bacterium
Lineage: Bacteria
Description: partial 16S ribosomal RNA
Rfam family: Bacterial small subunit ribosomal RNA
Source: RNAcentral